AUAGAGCUGCAAACAGAAAAAUAAGUCAUGGAGGCACCACUUCCUGUCAGAAGUUCAUCGUGUAAUCUAUGAAAAUGAGAAGGGCUAGGUCAUGCCCCUGUUCUUUACCAUCACUGGUAAGGUAGAAAGCCACUUCUUCACCCUAUAGAUGAAGGAGAUGGGUCUUGGAAAAGGUGACAGGUGAAUCUUUACUGACCUAUGCUAUGAGGCACCAUCUCUGAGAAGCACUUUUCAUAGAUUCUCUGGUCUGAGUCCUAAACAUUAAUUCUCUAGAAAUGUGAUCAUCACAUUACCCGUACAGACAGUUGUCUGACCCCUCUUUAUUCCAGCUGUGUACUGAGAGCUGAACUACAAGCUCCUGUUCUAAAGAAUCACUGGGUCACCAGCUCUGACCCCAGCUAUGGCAGAUCACUGAAGGAAGAGGAUGGUACAUGGCCGGCAACACAGUUGAGGAUGUGGAAGCACACCUAAAAUGCCUGCGUGUGGGAGGCUGAAACAUGAACCACUACAAGUUUGAAGUCAACAUGGAUGUCAUGGAAAGACCAUGUCCAAUGUAAAUAAAUAAAAGCAGAUAACAAUUAA
Molecule: non-coding RNA, 582 nt
Organism: Rattus norvegicus (Norway rat)
Lineage: Eukaryota; Metazoa; Chordata; Mammalia; Rodentia; Muridae
Source: RefSeq, a predicted model, not a curated record